UAAUGCAUUUUGGAAAGAGAGCUCAUCCCUCCCGCCUCUAUUUUGGAGCUGCUAAAACAGCAAAUCUUAAAUAACUUGUCUGAGUUUCAGGACCUGAGAGAGGAGAGAAGGCUGUGCAUUUCCACGGAGCAUGGGACGAUCUCAGCACACCGGGGGCCAAGUGUUAUUACCCUUCGUGCUAGAGAGGGGGAAAGUGACCACAAGAAGAUGGGCUGCUCUGGCCGCUAGAAACCAAACCUACCGAACGAGACACAGAGACAAAGACGACGACGACGGCAACGGGAGUUGGCACUCGGACUGUGUGGGUUACGGCUUUCUCUUGCCUAGCGCAGAAAUUUCUACCCCUCCCUCAAAUGGAAAUCAAAGUCUUAGGCUUGACCUUGGGUGACCUUGCAUAUGCCGGGAGAAAAAUGCGAAACGGCGUCUGUCCUCAUUUUGUCUGUAAGGGUAAGAGAGUCUUAAACAGAAAAGCAAUAAAUACAUCAUCUCACUAUGUCUACUCUUUUCAAGUAUCACUUGCUGUAAACAUUGGGUUUUUGUGUGUGUGUUUCAACCGCAAGAAAUCACAUUGCAGCUGGAACAGAAUAGCACUAGCCGGCCAGCACUCCAAGCAACUAAGAAAGCUCCAGCCCAGCUCUGCUUGACUGGGAAAGGUCAGCCAAUUGGUUUAGCUCAAAUUGCACCUGCAGAAACCUACAAUGCACCAAUUUCAGUUUAAACCACACACGACUUCCUUCGUUUCACGCGCCACAAAAGGCAGAACAUUCCUUAGGAACCCGAAUGUCAAGCAAACAAAGAUCCCGCUGAAUGGUGGCACCUGGCUGGAGCUUUGUGUUGAAACAGCAUGGAAAUAAAAGAGGGGAAAGUUUAGAAUCAGAUCCUUCCUCCUUCAGCGGUAAGUGGGAUUUAAAAAAAAUAGAUAUAUCGACACUAUA
Molecule: long non-coding RNA, 935 nt
Organism: Gavialis gangeticus (Gharial)
Lineage: Eukaryota; Metazoa; Chordata; Crocodylia; Gavialidae
Exons: 2
Source: RefSeq, a predicted model, not a curated record